Molecule: ribosomal RNA, 32 nt
Filed under: Campylopus pilifer
Lineage: Eukaryota; Viridiplantae; Streptophyta; Bryopsida; Dicranales; Leucobryaceae
Description: partial 5.8S ribosomal RNA
Source: RNAcentral
GAACACAACUCUNAGCAACGGAUAUCUUGGCU